RNAcentral lists this RNase P RNA (351 nucleotides) under Halanaerobacter jeridensis. RNAcentral's name for it is "Halanaerobacter sp. CEJFG43 Bacterial RNase P class A". It matches the Rfam family "Bacterial RNase P class A". From Rfam's summary of the family: Ribonuclease P (RNase P) is a ubiquitous endoribonuclease, found in archaea, bacteria and eukarya as well as chloroplasts and mitochondria. Its best characterised activity is the generation of mature 5'-ends of tRNAs by cleaving the 5'-leader elements of precursor-tRNAs. Lineage: Bacteria; Bacillati; Bacillota; Clostridia; Halanaerobiales; Halobacteroidaceae. The record is from Rfam by way of RNAcentral.
UUAGUAGGUCGGAUAAUCGCAAGCAGUUUCUGCUUGAGGAAAGUCCGGGCUCCAUAGAGUAGGAUGCUGGAUAACGUCCAGCCGGAGGAAUCCGCGGGCUAGUGCCACAGAAAGGAUACCGCCAAUUUAGUUGGUAAGGGUGAAAGGGUGCGGUAAAAGCGCACCGGAGUUUUGGUGACAAAACUAGCAUGGUAAACCCCAUCCGGAGCAAGGCGAAAUAGGGGAAGGGCAAGAGUUACUCGCUCGACUUCCCGGGUAAAGCUGCUAAAACUAAUAAGUGAUUAUUAGUUUAGAUGGAUGAUUAUCACUCGCAAGGGCAUACAGAACCCGGCUUAUAGACCUACUAAUGUU